RNAcentral lists this transfer RNA (70 nucleotides) under Flabellotrichalus sp. BM0082. RNAcentral describes it as "tRNA-Glu". The record is from RNAcentral. Lineage: Eukaryota; Metazoa; Arthropoda; Insecta; Coleoptera; Lycidae.
AUUUCUAUAUUUAUAUAGUUUAAAAAACCUUACAUUUUCAUUGUAAAAUUAAAUAUUCACUAUUUUAUAA